RNAcentral lists this ribosomal RNA (468 nucleotides) under uncultured bacterium. Its description in RNAcentral is "partial 16S ribosomal RNA". It matches the Rfam family "Bacterial small subunit ribosomal RNA", at positions 28 to 507 of the family's 1533-position model. The record is from RNAcentral.
GACGAACGCUGGCGGCGUGCUUAACACAUGCAAGUCGAACGGAAAGACCCUGCUUUUGUGGGGUGCUCGAGUGGCGAACGGGUGAGUAACACGUGAGUAACCUGCCCUUGACUUUGGGAUAACUUCAGGAAGCUGGGGCUAAUACCGGAUAGGAGCUCCUGCUGCAUGGUGGGGGUUGGAAAGUUUCGGCGGUUGGGGAUGGACUCGCGGCUUAUCAGCUUGUUGGUGGGGUAGUGGCUUACCAAGGCUUUGACGGGUAGCCGGCCUGAGAGGGUGACCGGCCACAUUGGGACUGAGAUACGGCCCAGACUCCUACGGGAGGCAGCAGUGGGGAAUAUUGCACAAUCGGCGGAAGCCUGAUGCAGCAACGCCGCGUGCGGGAUGACGGCCUUCGGGUUGUAAACCGCUUUCGCCUGUGACGAAGCGUGAGUGACGGUAAUGGGUAAAGAAGCACCGGCUAACUACGUG